ACCAAGAUGUGGGGGUGAAGGGGUGGGGAAGGGGAGGGAAGAUAGGAAAGGCAUGAAAGCUCCACGCUCUCCCCCAUACCUUGCUCUGUACCUCUUUUCCAUUUGGCUGCUUCUGAGUUUUGUCCUUUAUAACAAAUUGGUAAACCUAAACACUAUUUCUAGUGCAUUAUGGAACCUGAAAAGGGAUCCAUGGAAACCGCCAAUCUUCCUACUGGUGUCUGAAAUGGCUGAAGUCUUAUAAAACUGAGCCCCAGAAGCUGUGAGGUCUCCCAGAUAGCUGGUGGCAGAAUUGAGUUGAACUGUUCAACACUCAUCAGGUAUCAGAGAAUUGAUUGUUGUCAUCCUGCGAGUUUUAAAAAUGAUGCGUUUGUAGCUCUAUCUGUUCAAGUUCAUUGUCUUGUGCUCAACAAAGAAUGAAGACACAGACACAGAGGAGUGAGCAAAGGGCAAAGCAAAGACCUGGAAGUGAACAGAGAUGGCUCUCACAGCCAAGUGGCACAACAGGAGGCACCCUGGGAAACAGAAAGGCCUGUUGAAAUGAGCACAGACUCCCAGGAAAGGCAGCCAUGAGACAGCCAUUGAAAGCAUGAGAGGUGGCUUGCAAUUCUCCUGGACCUGGUUGGGAACUUGAACAUCCUUUCAUUCUUGAUGAUGGUUAUUUAUAGAGAGACCCUAAACGGGGAUGUUGUGGGCUCUGUUUUGUCCACUGCAGCUGAUGUGAAUCUGAAGCAACCAUCUUGGGAGUUACUUGCUCCUCAAGCCUGCAGACACGUCUCUUGAUUGGUUAGUUCAUCUGCCAAGAGAUUGUUGGGUUGUCUGUGGGUUAUAGAGUUGUGGUCGCAGAUGUCUCUCCUGAUGCCUGACUAUAGGCCAGGUUGUGGUGUGGUUUGUUAGCAUCUGCAUUCUGAUACCAUAAAGAUACUCCUGGCCCCAUAAUACCUGACUGGUUGGAAUGUUUAUUAUUAAUUCCAUUCUGUAAGCCAAUUACCUUUUGCCUAGUUUUUGUUUUCCUUCACCAAAACAUGUAAAUUUUUUGUAUAACUGACUGCAGUGUUAAUAAACAGAAUCCUUUUGUUUCAGCUGGA
Molecule: long non-coding RNA, 1085 nt
Organism: Oryctolagus cuniculus (rabbit)
Lineage: Eukaryota; Metazoa; Chordata; Mammalia; Lagomorpha; Leporidae
Source: RefSeq, a predicted model, not a curated record